Molecule: long non-coding RNA, 3074 nt
Organism: Macaca mulatta (Rhesus monkey)
Lineage: Eukaryota; Metazoa; Chordata; Mammalia; Primates; Cercopithecidae
Source: RefSeq, a predicted model, not a curated record
UGGGGGCGGGGCGGGGCGGGGCGGGGCGAGUGCUGUCAGAAGCUGCCCGCGCGGCUGUUAAUCCCUGGCCUUGGGAAAGUGAAUUGGCCUGGAUAUCAAAUAGGACAACUUGGGAUGUGGAAAUACCGGUUUCUCAAAAGGCCAUCUGGACUAAAGAAGAGGGUUCCCAGUCUCCCUUCAAGCUAAGUGAAUUUGUGUACUGGACAACAGGAUGUUGGAAGACAUAAUCUCUGCCACUUGUAUGUAAUACCUUAAAGGAAAGGAAAAUGCUACUUCUUCCUCUUUUACCUUUUUACUAUUAUCCAGAAUUUGGAUAGGUGGUAGUAAGCCAUUUAAAAAUCGAGAUGAGCAAAACACUGGAUAAAAGAAGGCUGACUCUGAUUACUUUGUAUAGCACAGCUACCAUAUUAGCUUGGGCCUUUAAUUCAUGUGAGAAUAAAUGUCUAUUUUGUUUAAGCCAUUGCUAAUACUCUAUAUAAAAUGUAUGUCAUAAAAAUGCAAGAUAUAUAUCCUAUUCAUUUGAAUUACUCUAGGUGGCCUAAUUUUUUAAUUAAAUAUUUUUAAAAAUUGUAAAAUUAACAUAUGUUUGUUAAUGCACUUGUUCACUGAGUAAAAAAUAUAAAUUUUACUGUCUGCAUUCUCCUGUCUAGAAAUUGUCAUGAGUUUGGUACUAUUAUUGCCUUGCCAGACUAGGCUAGUUUUCCUUACCCUACUCCCAACUGUGUAAGACAUUAGAUGUCAAAUAUAUGUCACCAAAGACGGUGGUGGCAAGCAAUUCAAGUGUUUUUCACUCUCAGACAUAGGCAAAGUGAGUUUGGGGACCACAAACAAGAAGAAGGGAGAGGAGGAGAGAAGAGGGGAGGGGAGAAGUUGGAAGAAAUAUAUGAUAGAAUACUACCUGCUGCAUUUUUGAAAGCUGAAGGCGAACUAAUAUUGCGUGUCUUUCCCUAGUAGGAGUGGACAUUGGAGAGUGAAGCUGAGAUCAAUAGCAGGCAGGGGUAGCAUGGCUUGCACAUGAUUUAUCUGUUAGGCAUAGCAGAUGUGAUUGAGGCAGGGAUGGGUACCUGACAGUUUUUUUGCAUGUUCUUUUCUGUUAGUGACUUAUUUCACUCAGCUCUUUCUCACAGGUGAGUAUAAAUCAAGUUCAAAUUUGAUGUUGCACUAAAAUUGAUUACAUUUAAGGAGAAUUGUAGAGGCUGGGCCAUUUAGCCCGAAUAUAUGAUCAACGCUUAUUCCAGAUGCUUUUGUGAGAGUGUUUCUGUAUAAUAGCAACGUUUAAAUCUGUGGAUUUUGAGUAAAGCAGAUUGCUCUUUGUAAUGUACAUGGGCCUUAUUCAAUCAGUUGAAGGCCUGGACAGAACACUGAUCUAAACCACACACACACCACACACACUGUCACACACACACACACACACACACACACACAAACAAACAUAUACACAUCUUAUUGGUUCUGCUUCUCUGGAGAACCUUGACAUAUAGGGGACAUACCAAAGUAGUUACUAGAUAUGAAGUAUGUUCAUAUGCAUUUUCUAGAAGAAACUUAUAUUCUACAUAAAAGUAAAAUGAUGAUGGUGAUGAAAAUGGUAAUUGCCACUAGAUACUUAGAUUAUAUUAUAAUUCACUUUAAGAAUUCACAGUGUUAUAUUGUCAUUAACACAGUACUGCCAUCUAUCCUGGCUCUUAUGUGUUAUUUAUUAAUUUACCACACAAAGCUAUUGUGUAUAGUGAACUAGUUGAACCAUAAAUAAAAUAAUUUACUAUGACAAGUAAACAGGAAUAUUUAUCCAGUAAGGUUUACCUUCAGUUUUGUCUGCAACCAGUGUAAAAUGCUGUCUUGUAUUAAUGAAUAGAUUCAGUGAAGCUAGCCAAAGCACCUGCCAAAAACACCUUAAAAAUGUUUCUUUUAUGGAACUUAAAAAAUUAGUGUUCAAGAUGUUAAUUCAAAGUAUUCAGGGAACAAGCACAUACCUUGUGUUAAACAGUAUUUAUAUGAAGUGGGAAUUCAAAUUACUGAGGCUUAAUUGUGUGAAGGUAGCUGGAACAUAUAAAUAACUUUGGGGUAAGGUGUUUGGAUAAGGCACUACUCAAGCAAAGACCUUCUUUCUUUCUUUGCUUUUUUUUUUUUUUUUUUUUUACUUAAUGAAGUAUCUUUCUAAGUUUCCUUUUAGAAAAAUGCUUUCUAAAAGGGUAUGGAUACUUUUCUAAUAUACCAUGGAUAACAGGAAAUGACAAUAAUAAUGAUGGCAGAUACUUAUAAAUAUGUGGAUCAAAAAUGAAUAUUCUACGAGUUUUAGGUGGAAGCUUACUCAAGAUGGGAUACUCCAUGAAAAUCUUUUCCCAAAUAUUUGGGUCUUCCAUAUUGAUACCCAUCCUUACUGCCUGUAUCACAGGGAAAGAUGACUUAGGUAAAUACCUUUCUUAUGCUUUAAUUUCCAUCCACUCCCAUUUCAUCAAGGAUAUUGUUUCACAAAUUACCAUUUUUUUUCUUGGCUUCCUUUUCUUGCUCUUUGCUGUCUCCUUCAAAAAAUAAAUGCAUGUAUUCAAUUUCUCCUGUCUUAAAAACAUCUCCCUUAAUUCUGUGUACCCCAACUACACUCAGUCUUCAUCUCUCAACCAUGCUUUUUGUCAGGGCUGUAGAGGUUUGCUCUCUCCGAGACUUUAUUUAGUCAUUCAGCCUUAGGGAUUAGUCUUUGAAUACAUUAUAAAAUUUAAUUCUUAAGUAUCUGACAAACUACAUGUAGAUAUUUCCUACUCCUAAUUUAUAGAUGUGGAAACUGAGGCUGAGAGAGGCUGAAGGACAUGCUCAAGACAGCUGGAAUCCAAAGCCUGCCCACUAGAAUGUGGAUAUUGUCAUCCCGUCUAAAAUGUUCAACUGGAGCUCAUUGAUUGGGUGCCUACUCUAUUACUAUGUAUCAGGCACUAUCAAGCUUUUUACCCAUUUUUUUAGUCCUUAUGACAUUCUGUAUGAAAUGGGUACUCUGAUUUGUCAACUCUGUAAUUCUCUCAAAUUCAAAAUGAAAUGGUUUUUAUAAAAUUGUGAAUAAAGUGAACACGAUUUUUUCUUUGUUCUUA